AUUCUGCCCAUGCGGGGAAGGAUGAGAAGCUUCGACCAAGGUUCGACUCGAGUGCCAGUGAGAGAGCGUUGCCGCAGGCAACGACCCGUAGGGCGAAGCGCGCAGCGCUGAGUAAUCCUUCCCCCACCACCA
This 132-nucleotide small RNA is filed under the name Escherichia coli. RNAcentral describes it as "RtT sRNA". It matches the Rfam family "RtT RNA". From Rfam's summary of the family: This family represents a bacterial cis-regulatory element known as RtT RNA. The exact function of RtT is unknown although it is thought that it may be involved in changing the cellular response in relation to amino acid starvation. The record is from RNAcentral. Lineage: Bacteria; Pseudomonadati; Pseudomonadota; Gammaproteobacteria; Enterobacterales; Enterobacteriaceae.